This 269-nucleotide ribosomal RNA is filed under the name uncultured archaeon. RNAcentral describes it as "partial 16S ribosomal RNA". It matches the Rfam family "Archaeal small subunit ribosomal RNA", at positions 477 to 746 of the family's 1478-position model. The record is from RNAcentral.
CAGCUCUCCGAGUGGUAGGGAUGAGUAUUGGGCUUAAAGCGUCCGUAGCCGGCUUAGCAAGUUUCCUGUUAAACCCAGCGACUCAAUCGUUGGAUCGCGGGAAAUACUACUAGGCUAGGAGGCGGGAGAGGUCAACGGUACUUCUGGGGUAGGGGUGAAAUCCUAUAAUCCCGGGAGGACCACCAGUGGCGAAGGCUGUUGACUAGAACGCGCUCGACGGUGAGGGACGAAAGCUGGGGUAGCGAAUCGGAUUAGAUACCCGAGUAGUC